This 468-nucleotide ribosomal RNA is filed under the name uncultured bacterium. RNAcentral's name for it is "partial 16S ribosomal RNA". It matches the Rfam family "Bacterial small subunit ribosomal RNA", at positions 28 to 507 of the family's 1533-position model. The record is from RNAcentral.
GACGAACGCUGUCGGCGUGCUUAACACAUGCAAGUCGAACGGAAAGGCCCUGCUUUUGUGGGGUGCUCGAGUGGCGAACGGGUGAGUAACACGUGAGUAACCUGCCCUUGACUUUGGGAUAACUUCAGGAAACUGGGGCUAAUACCGGAUAGGAGCUCCUGCUGCAUGGUGGGGGUUGGAAAGUUUCGGCGGUUGGGGAUGGACUCGCGGCUUAUCAGCUUGUUGGUGGGGUAGUGGCUUACCAAGGCUUUGACGGGUAGCCGGCCUGAGAGGGUGACCGGCCACAUUGGGACUGAGAUACGGCCCAGACUCCUACGGGAGGCAGCAGUGGGGAAUAUUGCACAAUGGGCGGAAGCCUGAUGCAGCAACGCCGCGUGCGGGAUGACGGCCUUCGGGUUGUAAACCGCUUUCGCCUGUGACGAAGCGUGAGUGACGGUAAUGGGUAAAGAAGCACCGGCUAACUACGUG